Mauremys reevesii (Reeves's turtle) is the source of this 556-nucleotide long non-coding RNA. RefSeq lists it as uncharacterized. The transcript has 5 exons. Lineage: Eukaryota; Metazoa; Chordata; Testudines; Geoemydidae. The record is from RefSeq and is a predicted model, not a curated record.
CUGACUUGCCCUGCACCUGUUACCGGACCUGCCCAGCGCCCGCUACCCGGAGCAGUUGCUGGGCCUGCUGCUCGCCUACUACCCUGAGGAACCCAUGGUCCUGGACCCCACAGAGGACACCCUGACCCAGGUGUAUAUAGCUGACUGGAGAAGCAGGUCUGAAGUGAACUUCGGGGGAUUUGAGGAACGGAAUUCUGGCCUGAAGACUGAAUGCGUGAGGUGAAGCUCCCUGGUCCAAGAGCAGAAGUGCCACUUUCUGAUUAUCGUAAUGUGCAGCUACAUGGAGUGGAGUUAAACCACUCUAAAAACACAUGCAGAACAAACAAGCAUUGUUAUAACUACCAUCAGUGAAAAUGCAGGAGUGCAAAGAAUUAGGUUAAACUAGAUACGGACAUGAAGAAAGUAUUCUUCCACCAUAACACCUGCAAUUCUCCUGCUGAAAGAACUGUUUCUGGGUUGUGGAUAACCUUGUUAAUCUGGGCUGUCUUCACCAGGCAAUGUGAAGAGGUGUGAAACCAUUCUGUUAAUGAGAAAGGAAAUACUUUCAUACACCACC